AUGGUUUGGCAGCGACCAGAUCCACCGCCGGCGGCGUCCGGGGGGCCGAGAUCUGGAGGAGGUGAAGUCGGGGACAGAUGGGAGGCGGCUGUGCACGCGAUGAGCGAGGCGACCAAGGAGACGGUGGUGACCACCAAAGCGGCGCCGCCACCCCCGCCAUCUGCACCAACGUCGACCACCAGCGAGCUCUGCAUCAACUGCAACCUCCCAGACUAUGUGGUUUGGCCCUCCCUGCCUCAUAUAGUACCCCUUGAAGAGGGUUCCACAGAAGAGGGAGAGAAAUGCAGCACCUAUACUGUUGAAUCUCCAAUUGGGUCUCCUAUCCAUGACACUAUGGUCCAUGAGGGAAAAGCUUCACGCAGGCAAAUGCAGAAAAUGGGACGAGUGGAGGAAGUGGCUAUCAACAGGAAGAAACGUGACUCUGAAGGUUUGCUUAAAGAAGAUGAUAAGAUGAAGUUCCAGACUGGUGUGAAGAGAUUGGCUCAUGCGGCUGCUGCAUUGGCGGAUAGAUCCUUUCCCCGCGGCAGACUCCUCCUCGGCGACAAUGAUGGGAUCCAGAUCGGCUAG
This 567-nucleotide ribosomal RNA is filed under the name Triticum aestivum (bread wheat). Its description in RNAcentral is "partial small subunit ribosomal RNA". Lineage: Eukaryota; Viridiplantae; Streptophyta; Magnoliopsida; Poales; Poaceae. The record is from RNAcentral.